UGGGGAAUCUUGCGCAAUGGGUGGAAGCCUGACGCAGCGACGCCGCGUGUGUGACGAAGGCCUUCGGGUCGUAAAGCACUGUCAGCCGGGAAGAAGACGUGUGUAACCCACACGUAGACGGUACCGGCGAAGGAAGCACCGGCCAACUCCGUGCCAGCAGCCGCGGUAAGACGGAGGGUGCAAGCGUUGUUCGGAAUCAUUGGGCGUAAAGGGCGCGCAGGCGGCCUCCCAAGUCCGGUGUGAAAGCCCGGGGCUCAACUCCGGAAGCGCAUCGGAAACUGGGUGGCUUGAGUCCGAGAGGGGACCGUGGAAUUCCUGGUGUAGGGGUGAAAUCCGUAGAGAUCAGGAGGAACACCGGAGGUGAAAACGACGGUCUGGAUCGGGACUGACGCUGAGGCGCGAAAGCGCGGGUAGCGAACA
This 420-nucleotide ribosomal RNA is filed under the name uncultured bacterium. RNAcentral's name for it is "bacterial SSU rRNA". It matches the Rfam family "Bacterial small subunit ribosomal RNA", at positions 355 to 774 of the family's 1533-position model. The record is from RNAcentral.